RNAcentral lists this long non-coding RNA (31024 nucleotides) under Zea mays. RNAcentral's name for it is "long non-coding RNA (ZMAY_LNC001130)". Lineage: Eukaryota; Viridiplantae; Streptophyta; Magnoliopsida; Poales; Poaceae. The record is from RNAcentral.
GGAUCGCACGAUCAGUAUCAACAGACCUGAGGGUGGUGAGGCUUCAGCGUCACAAAAAUCAGCUUGCUGCGGAUCGUGACGGGGUUACAUUGUCACAAGGAAGAUAAAUAGUGCGAUACCAUACUUUGUAAUUUACCCUUCUACGUACCUUUUAUCUGGCUGUCAUCGUUCUCGUCUAGCUUUUAAAUGCAAUUGCUUGGAUUCAGGUUUCUGUGUUGUAAUGUGAACAAUUUUAGUUGUACCCCUGGUAGAAAUGCAUGUGCUCAUAAGUCAUUGCACCUUGUUUUGAUGGAAAUGCUUGCAAAAUCGUUCACAGUUUAGGCGCGGCCGUACUACCUGUUGUUUUACUACAUUUAGACUGACUAGCAGACUGUAUAUGACUACAAAACGUGUUUUGUAGUGUAGAUUGUACUGUUUAUUAAGUGGAGUUUAAAAUCGAAGGUGGUGUGAAAGGGUCUCUAGCCGAGUUAGUUAGGUGAUUUGAGUAGCACUCAGGUUCUGGGUUUAACUCUCUCUAGCACAUGGCUAAGACUCGGCUCUGGUCGCGUUUGUUCUCAUAUGGGUUACGGUGCCGCUGCGUGUUUUUUCAACCUGCGUGAGGUCUUCUUAGUAUAAUAUUGUGGGGUAGUCUUACCCUCACAUGUCGAGUUUUAAAUAGAAUGGUGAGAUAGAUAAUGCUGUUGGAGAUAGCCUUAGGAGUCAAUGCACUCGGUCUAUCGUUCAUUUGUCACCUAUCUAUUGCAGCGCUCUAGUGCACAGUUGUUGGGGGUAUACAUCGUAGCCGAAGAUCCUAAAGAAAGAGAACACCUUCGGAAGAUCCUCUCAGGAGCAAGCGCCGAAGCUAUUACCUAUAGAGCUUCGGCAUAAUGACAGAUCUCAAGACGAAGGGCCGAACCGACUUAAAGAUGGAUUGACUUAAAGACCCAUGAUGUUUUGUGUUAUUAUUGUAGUCGAUUGUAAUGGACAUAAAUGUAAUUUUACACGGGCUGCACCCUGUGCCUGUAAAUAUGUGAACAGUACCUCGGCACUGUUCACGUAAUCCUGUAAUCGCUAACGCAUUACGCUGGAAUUAUUUUCUGUCAGAGGCGAAGGUAUAUGUCGGCGUUCCGAGACCGGGGGGUCCCUUGGGCCGACGAGUGAGUGUCGCCGCGUGCCCCAGCCCAGAUGGGUCGAGCGCGAGGGCGAGCGUGAAGGGGGGAGAAGCGAGGCGGCCGGAGACCGGCGUGAGAGAGGUGGGAAUCCCGCGGCCUUCGUGUUCGUCCCGCGCCUAGGUCGGGUGCGCUUGCAGUAGGGGGUUACAAGCGUCCACGCGGGAGAGGGAAGCGAGCGGCCCCAAGCGAGCGUCUGUCUCGUCCUCGUCCCCGCGCGGCCAACCUUCUCUAAGAGGGCCCUGGUCUUUCCUUUUAUAGGCGUAAGGAGAGGAUCUAGGUGUACAACGGGGGGUGUAGCAGAGUGCUACGUGUCUAGCGGGGGAGAGCUAGCGCCCUAAGUACAUGCCGAUGUGGCAGCCGGAGAGAUUUUGGCACCCAGCUGGUGUGAUGUCGUGGCCGUCGGAGGAGCGAUGGAGCCUGGCGGAGGGACAGCUGUCGGAGCGGUUGGGUCCUUGCUGACGUCCUCUUGCUUCCGUAAGGGGGCUGAGAGCCGCCGUCGUCAGAGCAUGCGGGGCGCCAUCAUUGCCUAUCUGGCGGAGCUAGCCAGAUGGGACACCGGUCUUGUUCCCUGCGGCCCGAGUCAGCUCGGGGUAGGGUGAUGAUGGCGCUUCCUGUUGACGUGGCUGGCCUGCGCCCUAGGUUGGGCGAUGUGGAGGCUCCUCCGAAGCCGAGGUCGAGUCUGUCUUCCAUGGCCGAGGCCGAGUCCGAGCCCCUGGGUCGGGCGAGGCGGAGGUCGUCUGCAGAGGCCAGGGCGGAGUCCGGGCCCUGGGGUUGGGCGAAGCGGAGUUCGUCGUCUUCUGGGGCUGAGCCCGAGUCCGAGCCCUGGGUCGGGCGGAGCGGAGUUCGCCGUCUUCCGGGACUUAGCCCGAGUCCGAGCCCUGGGUCGGGCGGAGCGGAGUUCGCCGUCUUCCGGGACCUAGCCCAAGUCCGAGCCCUGGGUCGGGCGAAGCGGAGCUUCCUAUGGUGCCUUUGGCAGGGCCUGACUGCCUGUCAGUCUCACUCUGUCAAGUGGUACUGCAGUCGGAGUGGCGCAGGCGGCGUUGUCCUUUUGUCAGGCCGGUCAGUGGAGCGGCGAAGUGACGACGGUCACUUCGGCUCUGCCGGGGGGCGCGCGUCAGGAUAAAGGUGUCAGGCUACCUUUGCAUUAAAUGCUCCUGCGACUUGGUCGGUCGGUGCGGCGAUUUAGUCAGGGUUGCUUCUUAGCGAAGGCAGGGCCUCGGGCGAGCCGGAAAUAUGUUCGCCGUUGGAGGGGGGCCUCGUGCGACACGAAAAUCCUCCGGGGUCGGCUGCCCUUGUCCGAGGCUAGGCUCGGGCGAGGCGUGAUCGAGUCGCUCGAAUGGACUGAUCCCUGACUUAAUUGCACCCAUCAGGCCUUAGCAGCUUUAUGCUGAUGGGGGUUACCAGCUGAGAAUUAGGAGUCUUGAGGGUACCCCUAAUUAUGGUCCCCGACAGUAGCCCCCGAGCCUCGAAGGGAGUGUUAGCACUUGCUUGGAGGCUUUCGUCGCACUUUUUUGCAAGGGGACCAGCCUUUCUCGGUUGCAUUUUGUUCCGGUGGGUGCGCGCGAGCGCACCCGCCGGGUGUAGCCCCCGAGGCCUCGGAGGAGUGGUUUCACUCCUUCGAGGUCUUAAUGCCUCGCGUAAUGCUUCGGCUGGUCUGGUUGUUCCCUCAUGCGAGCUGGCCGUAGCCCGGGUGUACGGUCGGGUCCCAAGUUCUCGGGCUGGUAUGUUGACGCUGUCAACGGUUCGGCCGGAGCCGGGUUUGCGAGAGCAGUCCCCGAGCCUCUGCGCAGGGCGAGAGGGCGAUCAGGGACAGACUCGGCUUUUUUUACAUACGCCCCUGCGUCGCCUUUCCGCAAGGAGGAGGGGGGGAAAGCGCCAUGUUGCCCUCGAUGGGCGCCGAACAUGGUGUCUCCGGUGAGCUGCAAGCGGGUAAUCCGAGUGGACGUCCGUGCCCCGUUCGUUAGGGGUCGGCUAGGGGACCAGAGGCACGCCCAAAAGUACCUGCGGGUGAUCUGCCGGACCCGGUCCCCUGGCGACGGGGUCCGAGGGCUCGAUGCCUUCCUCUGAUGGGAUUCCGUUACAAGAUCGCUCCCGCUGGUCUCGGAAAUGUCCUAGGGUACCUCGGGAGCGCAGCCCGAGCCUUGGUUAUGUAUCGAACGUACCCAUGGUCAUCCCUCGCUCGGUGUCUGAGGCGGCUGUGAACCCUUCGGGGGCCAGCCUUCGAACCCCUGAUCAGUAAUGGGCGUGGAGCCCGAGUAGCCUGAGGCGGCCGUGGAACCCUUCGGGGGGCCGGCCUUCGAACCUCUGACCAGUAGUGGGUGUAGGGCCCACGCGAUCUGAGGCGGCUGUCGAACCCUUCGGGGGGCCAGCCUUCGAACCUCUGAUCAGUAGGGAGGCUCGGAGCCUGGUUCCUUCACGGGGAAGGAUCCUUUUCGGGGUAUCCCCCUUUCCCGGUCCCUGUUGCAAGAGAGAGAGAGAAAGAGGAAAAAAGGAAAAGGAUACGAAAUCGAACGACGCGGCGUACCUUUUUUGGCGCGGUUAUUACGGCGAAGGCGAAGCGUCGCCCGCUUCUCCUGCCAGAAGCGCUGCCUGUCCCGCCGCGGAGUUAAUGCGACAGGGCGAGUGGUUGGCGGGGCGGUCGUUGCGCGUGCGCGAGCCGUUCGAGGAACGGCUGUUUCGCUUCGCGUUUUUGAAUCCCGCGUCCGGUCCGGGCGGAACGUUGGAACCGGUCUCGCCUUGGUCUUUAUAUACCCGGGAGAGGGUCUGGUGACGGUUCUUUGCUCCGCUUCCUGCCUCCCUCUUAGGUUUUCGCAACCCGAGAGACUUAGCCAGAGAAGAGGAAACCGCCCUUCCUGCCCUUGCGCCGCCAUCCCUUCCGCUCGGUGAUGGCUGACCGGGUGACCAUCAUCUCGCCGCGCGAUCCAUGGCCCUUUUCCACGGUGACAGCGAGUGAUCUGGAGGAUCUGGUCGGCGAGGGUUUGCUUCGUCCUCUCACCGAUGAGCAGCGACCGGAAUGGAUUCCUCCCGUGGGCGGAGCCGCUCCGUCCCCACCGCCGGGGUACAUCGUGAGCUUCGUCUCCUUCCACGAGCGGGGAUUCGGUGUGCCGGCGGGCCGCUUUAUGCGGGCGAUCCUGUACCACUAUGGGGUGGAGUUGCACAACCUCACCCCUAACUCCAUCUCGCAGGCCGCCAUCUUCGUAGCGGUGUGCGAGGGGUACUUGGGGAUCGCCCCCCAUUGGGAUUUGUGGACCCAUCUCUUUUUCGCGGAGCUUUUUGCCUCGCCGACGGGGGAGAGGAAAGUCCGCGCAGCGGUGCGGGCCGGCGGCUGCACCCUCCUGCUGAGGCAGUCGCGGGCGUCGCUGUAUAUUCCUGCCAUCCUCGCAUCCUCGAACAAGGGGUGGCAGCGCCGGUGGUUCUAACUCCGGAACGACGGCGAGUUGCUCCCUCCGUUCUCCCAGCGAGUAGUCACCGCUGCCACCGACGCUUGGCGCCACGGGACCCCGCACGAAAGACAGAAGAACCUCGAACCCCUUCUCCAGGCCUUGGAGGCGUUGCGGAAGGGGGGACUCACCGCUGCGGGAGUGAUUGCCGCCAUCCACCGUCGGAGGGUGCUUCCCUUGGCGGAGCGACGACUGUCGCUUUGGGAGAUGACCCCGGAGGCUGACUGGGAUGGCUCGCGGAUGUCCCCUGAUCCUCUUCCCUUCGACGCCCUCCAAUGGCGGGUGUCCGUUGCGUUAGGGAAGGCGGACCCCCACGCCUUCUCCCAGCUUUUGAUGCGCCCCGACCGAGGGUGCGUGACUCUGGUGAGUGUCCGCUUCUUCCUUCUUCAUACAUCAGGUUGCUCCUGGUUCUUACGAUCGGGGUUUUUCCCCCUUCUUCAGGAGGUGGGGUGGCACAAGCCUUCCCUGCCACGGGUCCCGCAGGACGCGGUGGACCGAGCAGCGCGGCGGGUCGUCGCGGAGGAGAAGAAGAAGAAGAAGGACGCGGAGAAGGCCCGGGCCCGCGAGCGGAGGCGGGCUCGAGACGCCUUGGAAAAGCUCCGUCGCCGGCAGGAGAGGGAGGGGCUCCCGAGGGAGCCGUCGCCGGAAACGCCCGACGACGAUGAUGAAGAUGAUGACGAGGAGGACGACAUGGCCGCCCGCCUUGGCCUCAGCCCCGGCUUGGGGUUUGGCCAGGAGCUGUCAAGCCAGCCCCCGAGCGGGCUGACGCCGUCAGUCCCCGGAGUCGGGACGUCGGGGUCCCGGCCUGAGGGGCGGGGGCAACCCGAGAGGGCACCUGACCCCUCGGCUGGAGGAGCUGAGGUGACCCCGGGGGGCCAGGCCAGGGCGUCUGCUCCCCGAGAGCCGCCGCUCGCGCCGGCAGCGCAGGGAGGCGACCCUCAGGUCACCGUGACAGUGCCUGGGCAAUCUGCCCCCCGGGCGUCCAAAGCAAGGGUGGUGCCGAAGUUGCCGGCGAAGCGGACCUCGGCGGCGGUUCCGGGGGCCGGAAUCCAAGAGACUUCCCCCCAGGCACGGUGGAUCAUGGCCCGGAGCGGGUAAGUAUCUCGGAAUGUCUUCGUCCUGGCUUUCCAUUCAUAUGUCCCGGCCGUGAUUUUUCUUUUUUCCUCAGCAAGCGAAGCCAUGGCCUGACCGACCUGGCACCCCGGAAAGCCCUUAAGACGACGCCGGCCUGUGCGGCCAGCGCCGCUCCGGGCCUUGCCGUUCAGCCGACCCUCUCGCAAGGCGUUCCACCUCAGGGGGUUCGGGCGGCACCGGUCGCCGUGGAGCAGGUUCCCGAGGCUGGCUCUUCUGCCGAGGCGGCCAUUGUGAUAGGGGAGGCAGCUGACGCUGACGUGGUCCCGAGCCCACCGGACGUGCCGGCCAUGCCGGCGCCUGCCGCUACCGAAGUCGCCGCCGUCCCAGUCGGAGAGCGACCGGUUGCUGCCGACGUCGAGACGGCUGAUGCGUCGGCGCUUGGUGCCUCGGAAGAGGGGGGCGUGGAGGCGCGAUCCGUCCCGCCGGGCGGCAGCCUCGUCGCUGUGCGGCAGAGCUUCGAGGGCCGGCGCCAGCUGCUCCGGUUCCGGACCCGUGAGGCCUCGGAUCCCGUCUUGUUCUCGACGAUGAACGGGAGGACCAGUCCUGGGAUGAGCUCCGCGAGUGUGCUGAAGCAACGGUGGGGUCGCUCCGGUCGUCGCUGGAGGUUUUCUGCAGGGACGUCCCCAAAAUCCUCCAGGUAACGGUUUUAGGCAUACCUUUUUUCUUCUGUGAUCGAUGCGUUCUUCGUGACGCCCCGCUUCCUUCCCUCAGGAUCUGACGGAUCGGAGCGCCGCCAAGUCAUCGUUUAUCCGCCGCGAGGUCGACGUCUGGGGCUCGCUGCGAUCCCUGAGGACCUUGCUCGCCGGGGCUACUGCGCGCCUUUCUUAGCAGGGUGCCGAGGUAGCGGACCUCCAGUUGCUCUACACUGACCUGAGAGCCAAGGCGGCAGCGGCGCGCGCGGAGGCGGCCGCGGCGCGCGCAGAAGCGCAACGGCAACGGUCGGAGUUCGACCGGGUCGUCGAGGAGCGGGACCAAUCUCGGGGCCGGGCUGCCGAGGCCGAAAGCCGGGCCGAAACCCUUGCAGCCGACUUAGCCGUAGCCUAGGUCGCGGCCUCGGAGCAGCGUGCCCGAGCCGGAGGUACGCCUUGGCCAUCCUUGGUUCUCGUUCCUGUUUGUUCCCUCUGCUUGUGUUUGAGAUCUUUCUUCUGGCUGUUCGCAGAGCUCGAGUCCGCCCUUGAUGAGUCCGCCAAGGCGCUUGCCGAGGCGCUUGCCGGGGCGGCCGAGCAGAGGGAGGCCGACCACGCGGCCAUGUCCGAAGCCGUCUCGGACGUUUAUCGGAUCCUUGGCUUCGGCGACGUCCCCUCAGGAAGCUCCCCUCAAAGUCGCCUUCAAGCCUUGGGCGAUCACGUGCGCGGCAGACUCCGCGAGGCGCUACACCACAGCGUCAGGCGGGCCUUCGCCGUGCUCGCUUCCCACUACGUUGUGGACCUGGAGCGGGUUAGUGAGGGGUAUUGUCUUCCUGACAAAGACGAAGCUACCCUGGCAGAAGUCCAGCGGCUCGACGCGGUCGCCGCGGGUCCGAGCGCAGUGCUGGCGACCACCUUUGAGGCGGAGAUCCUCCCCCCUGCGCCGUUGCCGGAAGCCGAGAUGGACUUUACCGAAGGCGGGGACGGAGCUGAAGGCGCGGCUCCUUCCCAAGGCGACGCCUAACUCCGUUGGAACAGUUUCUGUUGGAUGCACGUGUGUCUUUCUGCGGCCGCUGAGGCCUGAACACUUUGUUUCCAUUGCAUGAAGUCGUACUCCUCUUCCUUUUAUUUUGCGUGCCCGGCUUUGCCUGUCAAUAACAGGGUGGCUUCCCGAGUAGGGGUCAUUUUUCGUGGCGGGUGAUGAGUGAGGUGUCCCUAACCCGGAGGCAUAGGAAUUCCUCGGCUCAAUCGGCCUUGCCACUUACAUGCACCCACGUUCGCUCCUUGGGGCCCUGUUUCUGACAUAGCCGGGAGAACGCAAAAGCCUUUUUGACCGAAAAUUUUGGAUGCGGAGAGGUACGCCCAAUCUUGACGCAGAGGGGUUCCCCCCUUUUUAGCCCCCGAGGGAGGGUCGGGCUCUGCCGAGGCGAGGCUGACCCUUCCUUGACGACCGAGACUUUUGUGGGAGCGAGGUGUACGAACAGCUUGAAAACAUCUUAAGGGUAGAAGCGACGUAGCUGUCGGAUGUUCCAAGCGUUGCCGUAGACCUCGCCUUGACCGCCGGCCAGCUUGUACGUUCCGGGCUCCAGAACUUUGGCGAUGACAAGCGGCCUUUCCCGGGGGUGCGUGUAGCCCCCGGGUGCCCCCAGCAAGGGCUCGGGGUGCUGUGCGAUGGUCGCGAUCUUCUCCGGGUUGGCUUCGAUGCCCCGCUUGGAGAUGAUGAACCCCAAGACCAUGCCCUGGGGCACCCCGAGGACCCACCUUUCGGGGUUGAGCUUGACGCUUUUCGCCUCUUUUAUAGACUUCGCCGCCAUUAGCUUGUGGAUCUCCUCGCCUAUCGCUCUGCGCUUCUCCUCGUUGAAUCGGCGCAGAGAGUAUUUGACGGGUCGGGCUCUGGCCCGAAUAUCCAGCGAGUGCUCGGCGACAUCCCUCGGUAUGCCGGGCAUGUCCGAGGGACUCCACGCGAAGACGUCGACGUUUGCGCGGAGAAAGUCGACGAGCACUGCUUCCUAUUUGGGGUCGAGCCCGGAGCCGAUCCGGAUUUGCUUGGAGACGUCGCCACUGGGGUCGAGGGGGACGACCUUGACCGUCUCCACUGGCUCGAAGUUGCCGGCAUGACGCUUCACGUCUGGCACCUCUUUGGAGAGGCUUUCCAGGUCGGCGAUGAGGGCCUCGGACUCGGCGAGGGCCUCGGCGUACUCGACGCACUCCACGUCGCAUUCGAACGCGUGCUUGUACGUGGGGCCGACGGUGAUGACCCCGUUGGGGCCCGGCAUCUUGAGCUUCAGGUAGGUGUAGUUGGGGACGGCCAUGAACUUCGCGUAGCAUGGCCUUCCCAGUACCGCGUGGUAGGUUCCUUGGAACUCGACCACCUCGAACGUCAGGGUCUCCCUUCGGAAGUUGGAGGGUGUCCCGAAGCAGACGGGAAGGUCGAGUCGUCCGAGGGGCUGGACGCGCUUCCCGGGAAUGAUCCCGUGGAAGGGCGCAGCGCCUGCUCGGACGGAGGACAGAUCGACGUGCAGGAGCCUGAGGGUCUCGGCGUAGAUGAUGUUGAGGCUGCUGCCUCCAUCCAUAAGGACCUUGGUGAGCCUGACAUCGCCGAUGACGGGGUCGACGACGAGCGGGUAUUUCCCCGGGCUCGGCACGUGGUCGGGGUGGUCGGCUUGGUCGAAGGUGAUGGGCUUGUCGGACCAGUCUAGGUAGACUGGCGCCGUCGCCUUUACCGAGCAGACCUCCCGGCGCUCUUGCUUGCGGUGCCGAGCCGAGGCGUUCGCCGCUUGCCCACCGUAGAUCAUGAAGCAGUCGCGGACCUCGGGGAACUCUCCUGCUUGGUGAUCUUUCUUCUUGUCAUCGUCGCGGGCCCUGCCACCCUCCGCGGGUGGCCCGGCCCUGUGGAAGUGGCGCCGAAGCAUGAUGCACUCCUCAAGGGUGUGCUUGACGGGCCCCUGAUGAUAGGGGCACGGCUCCUUGAGCAUCUUGUCAAAGAGGUUGGCACCUCCGGGGGGCUUCCGAGGGUUCUUGUACUCGGCGGCGGCGACAAGGUCCGCGUCGGCGGCGUCGCGUUUCGCUUGCGACUUCUUCUUGCCUUUCUUCUUGGCGCCGCGCUGAGUAGACGCCUCGGGAGCAUCUUCCGAUGGGCGGCCCUGGGGCUGCUUGUCCUUUCGGAAGAUAGCCUCGACCGCCUCCUGGCCAGAGGCGAACUUGGUGGCGAUGUCCAUCAGCUGGCUCGCCCUGGUGGGGGUCUUGCGACCCAACUUGCUCACCAGGUCGCGGCAGGUGGUGCCGGCAAGGAACGCGCCGAUGACAUCCGAGUCGGUGAUGUUGGGCAGCUCGGUGCGCUGCUUCGAGAAUCGCCGGAUGUAGUCCCGGAGAGACUCUCCCGGCUGCUGCCGGCAGCUUCGGAGGUCCCAGGAGUUCCCGGGGCGCACGUAUGUGCCCUGGAAUUUGCCGGCGAAGGCUUGGACUAGGUCGUCCCAGUUGGAGAUCUGCCCCGGAGGCAGGUGUUCCAACCAGGCGCGAGCGGUGUCGGAGAGGAACAGGGGGAGGUUGCGGAUGAUGAGGUUGUCGUCGUCCGUUCCACCCAGUUGGCAGGCCAGACGGUAGUCCGCGAGCCAUAGUUUCGGUCUCGUCUCCCCCGAGUACUUUGUGAUAGUAGUCGGGGGUCGGAACCGGGUCGGGAACGGUGCCCGUCGGAUGGCCCGGCUGAAGGCCUGCGGACCGGGCGGUUCGGGCGAGGGACUCCGAUCCUCCCCGCUGUCGUAGCGUCCCCCACGCCUGGGGUGGUAGCCUCGGCGCACCCUCUCGUCGAGGUGGGCUCGACGAUCGCGGUGAUGGUGCUCGUUGCCGAGGCGGCCCGGGGCCGCAGGCGCGGUGUUGCGCGUGCGCCCGGUGUAGACCGAGGCUUCCCGCAUGAAUCGGGAAGUCGCGGCAUGAGGUUCCGAGGGGUAUCCCUGCCUUCGGGAGGCAGAGCUCUCGGCCCGUCGGACCGCGGCGCCUUCCAGGAGAUUCUUGAGCUCCCCCUGGAUUCGCCGACCCUCGGUGGUGGAUGGCUCCGGCAUUGCGCGGAGGAGCAUCGCUGCUGUAGCCAGGUUCUGGCCGACGCCACUAGAUGCGGGUGGCGGCCUGACCCUAGCGUCGUCGGCGACGCGGUGCUGGAAACCCUGGGGCAGAUGACGUAUUUCUCCGGCCGGGGGUUGGCCCGCCCAUGCCUGCUCGACGUCCCGGCGGAUCGGCUCAAGCGCUCCUGCUCCCUCGCCGAGCCUGGCCUGCACCCCGCGGAUUUGCUCGAGCUGUGGGUCAUGGCCCCCCGCCUGAACGGGGACCACAACUAGCUCCCGUGGGAUGUCAACGCGGGGCACCGGCCUAGGGAGAUCACCAUCCUCCGGCAUGCCGAGAUGGUUGCCUUCGGAGGGACCCCCUAGAUCGACGUGGAAACAUUCGCGGCUUGGGCCGCAGUCCUCGUCGUCGAGGCUGCGGCUACCGUCGGAACAGUUGGAGAGGCAGUAGUCACAUGCGGUCAUGAAGUCCCGCAUGGCACUGGGGUUGCCAAGUCCAGAGAAAUCCCAACAGAUGCUGGGGUCGUCGUCUUCCUCGGACCCAGAGGGUCCGUAGGUCGAGACGUCCGUCAACCGGUCCCAAGGCGACCGCAUGCGAAACCCCAGAGGGUUUGGACUCGCCUCUACGAGAGCGUCCGCCAAAGCGAGGUCGCUAGGCGGGUUGAGGCUGAAUCCAAAUGACGUAGGAUGAGAAUCGGUCGGUACCUUUUGGUCGACGAGCGGCGAUGAAGUCACGUCGGGGACUGACUGCACCGUCGUCUCAGGUACGAGGGCGACGUCCUGCAAGCUUUUCGCAAGCGCGCUGGCGUCGUCCACUUGCUCGGGAUUGGCGUGUCGCGGGGAGACGGCGCUCGUCUUCGUCUCAGGCGCGAAGUCGAUACCCGGUGCGCCCCUCGUUGGGGUGCCGGCGCUGUCGACUCGCUCGACAGCCGACGAGGCGCUGCCUCCUGCUUGGCCUUGGUUGCCCUGCCUUCCCCUCCGCCGACGGGGAAGAAGGCGGGACGAGCUCGAAGAUUGUUCUUCCGCCACGCGGGGAAGACGUCGUCGAUUCCGCCGCCGGCGGGCGGGCUGUCGGCCGCCAUUGUCGUUGUCGCACGGCGGUGGAAGGAGUAUCAUGUCGUAGCUGCCGUCGAAGGACAUGAACUCAAGACUCCCGAAACGGAGCACCGUCCCGGGUUGGAGAGGUUGCUGGAGGUUGCCCAUCUGGAUCUUGACGGGAAGCUGUUCGUCAACACGCAGCAGGCCCCUACCUGGCGCGCCAACUGUCGGCGUUCCGAGACCGGGGGUCCCUUGGGCCGACGAGUGAGUGUCGCCGCGUGCCCCAGCCCAGAUGGGUCGAGCGCGAGGGCGAGCGCGAAGGGGGGAGAAGCGAGGCGGCCGGAGACCGGCGUGAGAGAGGUGGGAAUCCCGCGGCCUUCGUGUUCGUCCCGCGCCCAGGUCGGGUGCGCUUGCAGUAGGGGGUUACAAGCGUCCACGCGGGAGAGGGAAGCGAGCGGCCCCAAGCGAGCGCCUGUCUCGUCCUCGUCCCCGCGCGGCCAACCUUCUCUAAGAGGGCCCUGGUCCUUCCUUUUAUAGGCGUAAGGAGAGGAUCCAGGUGUACAACGGGGGGUGUAGCAGAGUGCUACGUGUCUAGCGGGGGAGAGCUAGCGCCCUAAGUACAUGCCGAUGUGGCAGCCAGAGAGAUUUUGGCACUCAGCUGGUGUGAUGUCGUGGCCGUCGGAGGAGCGAUGGAGCCUGGCGGAGGGACAGCUGUCGGAGCGGUUGGGUCUUUGCUGACGUCCUCUUGCUUCCGUAAGGGGGCUGAGAGCCACCGUCGUCACAGAGCAUGCGGGGCGCCAUCAUUGCCUAUCUGGCGGAGCUAGCCAGAUGGGACACCGGUCUUGUUCCCUGCGGCCCGAGUCAGCUCGGGGUAGGGUGAUGAUGGCGCUUCCUGUUGACGUGGCUGGCCUGCGCCCUAGGUUGGGCGAUGUGGAGGCUCCUCCGAAGCCGAGGUCGAGUCUGUCUUCCAUGGCCGAGGCCGAGUCCGAGCCCCUGGGUCGGGCGAGGCGGAGGUCGUCUGCAGAGGCCAGGGCGGAGUUCGAGCCCUGGGGUUGGGCGAAGCGGAGUUCGUCGUCUUCUAGGGCUGAGCCCGAGUCCGAGCCCUGGGUCGGGCGGAGCGGAGUUCGCCGUCUUCCGGGACUUAGCCCGAGUCCGAGCCCUGGGUCGGGCGAAGCGGAGCUUCCUAUGGUGCCUUUGGCAGGGCUGACUGCCUGUCAGUCUCACUCUGUCAAGUGGUACUGCAGUCGGAGUGGCGCAGGCGGCGCUGUCCUUCUGUUAGGCCGGUCAGUGGAGCGGCGAAGUGACGGCGGUCACUUCAGCUCUGCCGGGGGGCGCGCGUCAGGAUAAAGGUGUCAGGCUACCUUUGCAUUAAAUGCUCCUGCGACUUGGUCGGUUGGUGCGGCGAUUUAGUCAGGGUUGCUUCUUAGCGAAGGCAGGGCCUCGGGCGAGCCGGAAAUAUGUUCGCCGUUGGAGGGGGGCCUCGGGCGAGACGGAAAUCCUCCGGGGUCGGCUGCCCUUGUCCGAGGCUAGGCUCGGGCGAGGCGUGAUCGAGUCGCUCGAAUGGACUGAUCCCUGACUUAAUCGCACGCAUCAGGCCUUAGCAGCUUUAUGCUGAUGGGGGUUACCAGCUGAGAAUUAGGAGUCUUGAGGGUACCCCUAAUUAUGGUCCCCGACAGUAUAAACGUACCUAAAUAUUAUGUUUUGACAUUUAAGUUCAUAUUAUGAAAUAUAUGAAUAAUGUAAUUUGUUUUUCCUAUAAUGUUUAAUAUUUUAUAUUUUAUUUCACAUUGAUGAAUGUUUGACCACGAAGGUAUGACCUUCGUGGUAUUCUGUCCGUGGCCUUCGUUCGAAGUUCAUUAAAUCCAUGGGGAAAUAAUGCUUCAGCGAACGAAGGGCAUUAUUAUUUAACAUUUUCUGUGUUGCCUUGUUCUUAAUUCAUAGCAUUUGGGAACAAGUCCCCAACAUUGGCGCCCACCUCCGGUGAACUCACUUCCACUUUUUUGAGCUGAUGGCUUCGUUCAACAACCAAGCUGGAGCUGAUUCGGCUCCGAAGCUGGUACUCCUGAUAACAGGCGGUUCAUGUUCAGAGCCAGCUAACAAGAAGCAGAAGAAGGAGGCACAGAGAAGGGUACAACAUGUCGGGGUGCAAGGACCCUUCAUCAAGUCAAGAUGGUCGCACAUCCCAAUUACCUUCUCUCAAGAGGACCUUCAGCUCAAGGAUUACCCUCACAAUGAUGCUAUAGUUAUUUCUUGUGUCAUCAAAGGAUUUCUGGUCCACAAUGUUCUGGUUGACACAGGCAGUACAACGGAUAUUAUAUUUGCUAAGGCCUUCAGACAGAUGCAAGAGCCCGAAGAUAAGAUCCAUGAUGCUACACAUCCCCUUUGUGGCUUCGGAGGAAGGCAGAUUGUAGCACUCGACAAGAUCACGAUGCCAGUGACCUUCAGAUUUAUCAACAAUACAAGGACUGAACAAGUUGUGUUUGAUAUUGUUGACAUGAAAUACCCUUACAACGCAAUCAUUGCUCGUGGGACACUCAAUGCUUUUGAAGCAAUUCUUCACCCAACAUAUCUUUGCAUGAAGAUACCUUCGGAUCAAGGGCCUGUUGCUAUUCAUGGAAGUCAAGAAGCUGCCAGAAAGGCCAAAGGAAACUGGACAGAUUCAAAAGCAAUCCAUAAUAUAGAUGGAGCUGAAGCUUGUGAGCAAUACAAGUACAGAAGGGAGAAGGCUGCUUCGGCUGAUCAGCCAAAGCCCAUGCUUUUAUGUGAAGAUAUAGCAGAGCAGAAGGUGUUGCUGGGUUCUCAAUUGUGUGAGGAGCAGGAGAAAACCUUGACAAGGUUUCUAUUCAACAAUAAAGAUGUCUUCGCAUGGUCGGCCAAUGAUCUCUGUGGUGUGAACAGGGAUGUCAUUGAGCACUCGCUCAAUUUUGAUCCAUCCUUCAGACCAAGAAAGCAGAGACUUCGGAAAAUGUCUGAUGACAAAGCCGAAGGUGCUCGGAACGAAGUGAAAAUACUUCUUAGUGCUGGCGUCAUUAGAGAAGUAAAGUACCCAGAAUGGUUAGCCAACACUGUUAUGGUGAAGAAGGCCAAUGGUAAAUGGAGAAUGUGCAUUGACUUUACUGAUCUUAAUAAGGCUUGUCCGAAGGAUGAAUUUCCAUUACCAAGAAUAGAUUCUCUAGUAGACGCAGCAACUUCGUCAGAACUCAUGAGUCUACUAGAUUGUUAUUCAGGCUACCAUCAAAUCUGGAUGAAGAAAGAAGAUGAGCCAAAAACCAACUUCAUAACCCCCAGUGGUACAUAUUGUUAUCUUCGAAUGCCUGAGGGGCUGAAGAACGCUGGAGGAAGCUUCAACAGAAUGACAGCGAAGGUCAUUCAUUCUCAGAUAGGCAGAAACGUGCUAACAUAUGUUGAUGAUAUCAUAGUAAAAAGCACGAAGCAAGAAAAUCACAUUGCUGAUCUGCAGGAGACAUUCGCUAAUUUUAGGCAAGCUGGUCUAAAGCUGAAUCCAGAAAAAUGUGUCUUCAGAGUAAAGAAGGGGAAAUUCCUUGGUUGUUUGGUUUCAACAAAAGGGAUCGAAGCUAAUCCAAAUAAAAUCGAAGCUAUCAUUCGGAUGGAACCGCCAAGCACAAAGAAAGGGGCUCAACGACUAACAGGAAGACUGGCAUCUUUGAAUCGAUUUAUAUCCAGAUCAGCAGAGAGAAAUUUACCAUUCUUUGAAGUGCUGAAGUCAGCCGAAGUUUUUCAAUGGGGAUCAGCUCAGCAAAAAGCCUUCGAAGAGCUGAAGCAGUAUCUGAUAGAUUUAACAACCUUAACUCCACCAGCGCCAGGGGCUCCUCUGCUGUAUGUGGCAGAUCCGCACUCUGCAGUAAGUGCGACGCUUGUCCAGGAGAAGCUUGAAGGACAAUUGAAAAAGCAGGCUCCAGUAUACUUCGUCUCCGAAGUUCUUAGUUUAUCAAAUAAAAACUAUACAGAAUUGGAGAAGGUGUUGUAUGCUGUCUUAAUGGCCUCCAGGAAGCUUCGACAUUAUUUUCAAGCAUACCAUAUAAUUGUUCCUUCAUCACAGCCUUUGAAGGAUAUUAUGAGAAACAGAGAAGCUACUGGAAGGAUUGGAAAGUGGGCUGCGGAACUCAACGAGUUCAGCAUUGAUUAUGUGCAUAGAUCUUCGAUUCAGUCCCAAGCGCUAGCAGACUUCAUCGCUGACUGGACGCCAGGGGCUCAGGAGGAAGAAGCAAGUAAAGAUGUCGAAGCUUGGACAGUGUUCUGCGAUGGUUCCUGGGGAACCUUCGGGGCAGGUGCAGCUGCCGUUUUAAUUGCACCUUCCAAAGUCAGAACAUGCUACGCAGUGAAACUUGAUUUCAGCUGCACAAAUAAUAUUGCCGAAUACGAAGCUUUGCUUUUGGGGCUUCGGAAGUUGAAGGCAAUGGGGAUAAGAAGGGCGGUUCUUAAAACCGAUUCCCAAGUUAUUUCUGGUCAUAUUGAUAAGAGUUGUAAAGCAAGAGAUCCAAAGCUCGAGAAAUAUUUGGAUACAGUUCGAAGGCUUGAAGCUUCCUUCGAAGGGUUUUUUGUCAAGAAUAUUCCACGAGGAGAAAAUGAGCACGCUGAUAUGCUAGCCAAGUCAGCGGCACAUGGGCUGCCUUUACCUUCGGAAGUAUUUUUUGAAACAAUAAAAGCACCUUCGGUCGACCUUCUUGAAAGAGCAGUGCUCAAUAUAUCUCCUGUUUAUAUCGAAGAUUGGAGAACUGAGAUCAUGUCUUUUCUCCAGGGCAAUUUCUUUUCAGAUGACGAAGCUUAUAAUAAGAGAAUAGCGGCAAGAGCCCGUCCAUAUGUAAUAAUAGAAGGGGAGUUAUACAAGCAUGGAGUUUGUUCUCCAUUACUCAAAUGUUUAUUCAGAGCUGAAGGUAUAGAGCAGAUGAAAGAAAUACAUGCAGGCCUGUGUGGAUCUCACAUCGGAUCUAGGCCCUUGCUGGGUAAAGUUUUUCGUCAAGGAUUUUAUUUGCCGAAGGCAGCUUCGGAUGCAGCAGAAUUAGUCCAAAAAUGCGAAGGUUGUCAAAAAUGUGCAAGAGAUCAAAAACAACCUUCGUCUCUAACUUAAUUAAUACAGCCUACUUGGCCGUUGCAAAGAUGGGGCCUUGAUUUGCUAGGCCUACUUCCACCAGCACAAGGAAAUUUAAAAUAUGUUGUGGUGGCAGUAGAAUAUUUUUCUAAGUGGAUUGAGGCGAAACCUUUAGCCACAAUAACUUCGGUCACUGUCCAAAAAAAAUCUGGCAAAAUAUUGUCUGUCGCUUCGGAGUGCCGAAGGCUAUUACUGUGGACAAUGGAACACAGUUUGAUGCCGAAGCUUUCAAAGAGUUUUGUGAACAAAUUGGCACGAAGAUCCAUUUUGCAUCGGUUAGGCAUCCGGAGUCAAAUGGACUUGUCGAAAGAGCUAAUGGCAUUAUAACGAUAGGAAUAAUGAAGUUAAUCUUCAACCAGCUCAGGGGGAAGUUGUGGUAACUUCACACCUACCCGUCUGUUUAUAUAGUGCCGCAGGUGGGAAGGUGAAUCGUCAAGGUCUCCCGCACCGAACAAACAGUCACCCGCACUCCCUGAACGGUGGGCCACAGGGUCCGAGAAGGUGAAUCGCUGGGGCGCGCGUAACUGCUGCAAGAUGGGGCCACCGCGCGCGCGGCGAUUAUUUUAAUCGUUUCUUGCGAACGAGCUCAGGGAAGGUGUUUUUCGGAUCUUCGGCGUCCCGAAGCCUAGAAGGUUUUUUCACGGAUCAAGCUCGUUACGAAAAACAAUCUAGCACCGCGAAGGGCUACUGUUGGGGGUAUGCUUCGUAGCCGAAGAUCCUAAAGAAAGAGAACACCUUCGUAAGAUUUUCUCAGGAGCAAGCGCCGAAGCUAUUACCUAUAGAGCUUCGGCAUAAUGACAGAUCUCAGGACGAAGGGCCGAACCGACUUAAAGAUGGAUUGACUUAAAGACCCAUGAUGUUUUGUGUCAUUAUUAUAGUCGAUUGUAAAGGACAUAAAUGUAAUUUUACACAGGCUGCACCAUGUGCCUAUAAAUAGGUGAACAGUACCCCGACACUGUUCACGCAAUCCUGUAAUCGCUAACGCAUUACACUGGAAUUAUUUUCUGUUAGAGGCGAAGGUAUAAACGUACCUAAAUAUUAUGUUUUGACAUUUAAGUUCAUAUUAUGAAAUAUAUGAAUAAUGUAAUUUGUACCUAAAUAUCACAAAUGCGGAGAGGUUGCUUCGAGUCCUCGACCUGGUGACUCAGUGGGACAGCUCUCAUCACUGCAUCAGGCCUGCCCUUUAGAAUGCUACUAUUAGAAUAUUUCUAAAAUAGUUUAUAUUUUAUCUUUAAAAAGGAUUGACUUCAAAAUAAGAACAGUUGAGCUUGAUGGUAAGCGCGUAAAAUUACAGAUAUGGGAUACUGCUGGUCAAGAGCGGUUUCGAACUAUUACAACCGGUAUGCAAUACUUGUUUCUGUCAGUUGCAGUAAUGUUGGCCCCUCAAUUUUUAUGGGUUAACUAGGUGAGUGCCCGUGCGUUGCAACGGGAACAUAAAAAUAUGUGUUAUAAGGUUGCAGAGGUAUGCACACCAUGUCCCUUUUUUCCCACAGGACUACAGGACCUCACUUCUGUGUCUUGGUGACUACACAGCAGCGGCGACUCCAGUGCAAACGUCAAGAGUCUCGAGGAAGAAACGGCGGCGAAGAUCGAGCAACUCACCCAGUAGGCCGCAAGCAUCUCCCUGACCGCCAUGGUGGGUCCCCGGCGAGGCGAGGCAACCCGAGCGAACCCCGGAUCCGAAUAUGCGGGGACGACAGGGGUGGGGGAAGGGGCACCGAGGACCUGCGCGGAGGAGGGCAAGGAUGGCGAGGUGUGCGAGCGAGCGUGGGGCGAGGAUGGCGUGGAUGGUAGAGGAGUGGGGGCAUGGUGUUGCCUUAUGGAUGGUGGGAGCGAGGAUGGCGGAGAGCAAGCGGGGCGAGGAUGGUGGGAUCUGCCGUGGAGGCAAUCCCUGGAUUGCGUCCUUCCAUCAAUAGAGAGCGGGGUUGACGGAGGCUGGGGCGAGUACCACGGGAUCAACGAAGCACGGGCGAGAGGGUGUCGGGGUGUAGACGCCUACACUGCAGACUUAUAGAGUAGUAGAGAUAUGCUUCAAUCAUUGUGGAGAUAUGCUUCAAUCAUUAUAGAGGAUCGACGUUGAUGGCGGCUCGGCGUCGCGUGGAUGGCGGGGAGCAGAGGAGCGGUGGGUGGGCAGAGGGAACCGGCAGAACAAGCACCUAUGGACGCCUACACUACACAAUUAAGUAGUAGUAGAGAUAAGGGAAACCUGGAGGAUGGAGUAUAAUUAUUUGGAAAAACAAUAGCCAAAAUAAGGCAGGAAGUAAACUAAUUCCUGAAAACCAACAAUCAGUCACAAUGACCAAAGAUCAACACAAAGUGCAAGCAGUAAGACAAAAUGAACUGAAAGGGUUGGUUGGUGUGGAGCAGGACUGGUUUGUGUGCUUGGAUGGGAGGCAAAACAGAAGGCAGUAGAACAGUUGGAUAAGAGAUUGGGGAAGUUGCUACAGUAGGGAAUGAAGUUUGUUGUGGUUGGUUUGCUACCAUUGUCGCUGCAGCCAGCGUUGGUGGCUGGCCUGGAGGUGUUAGAUGUAACAUCGGAUGGACUGUUCUGUCAGUUGCUUCUCGCUUAGCUCCAUCUCUUUUAUUUUGUCUUGAGAAAAGGACUACUCCACCCCUGCGCCUUCGAUCAUUCAGAUACUGAGUUUCCACUGUCGUUUCAGCAUACUGAUGAAAAUGUUCCACCUGGACAAACAAGAAUGUUCAUCAUAAACGAACAUGCCAAAAUGUGUAGUUUCCAAACAGGGACAUUCCCCGUUUACAAUAUAUUAGAGGGGAGAAAACAUAAUGCACAUGAGGGAUUUAACUUCAUGUUUGCAAUUCUGAUACGCAGCAGGUCACAUUUUUUUUAUAAUUGCAAAUAGGAAGUUAAAACGAUGGACAUAAGCUAGCAACUCUGGGAAAGGAGACUGUGAGUGAACUUAGCAUUCCCAGCAGACAAGUUUGAAGAAGUUGAUUUGUGAACUUAGCAUUCCCAGCAGACAAGUAGCUAUGAUGGUUAUCAUCCAUUAUGUGUAAGAUUUACCUUAAUGCCACAUGGAUUAGAUAGUCAUGAACAUUACACAUAACAUUUGACAGAGACUCCAAAGAUUCAGCAAAGGCCUUGCCAUCCUUCAUUUGGGCAAGUUGUUCUAGUUCUAGAAUCAAUUUGCAGGAGCAGCCAAGAUCAUCCUCAAAUAUGGCAACUGUGUGUUGCACAAAAGGAGAAGGCCGCCUGGUAGCUCUAUAACAAUGAAACCUUGGUGACAUGGUCAAGUGCUGAUGGAAAUCAGAGUUUGCACUUUCAGCACUUAGACAAACCCGAUUUCUUUGAUAACAAUCAUUAAGCUCUCAAUGGAAUUCCUCUCUCUCUAUCUAUCUCUCUCUCUCUAUUCAUGAUGGUAGAGAUAGGUAUAGCCGCCUGCUACAGGAAGAAAAAAAAUCUGGUUAUGACAAACAGUCUCAAAAUCAUAAGUGUUACUUUGCAGGAAUUUUAUAGAAAUUGUAUAAAGAUUUUAUAGGAACCGCUUUAUUUUUUUUACAAGUGAAGAACAAAUGAAACGGGAAAUAGAGCCUGCAAACCAAACUGUGCCUUCUUAUUGUUAGCAUAGAUUAAGGUCAUAAUACACAUUGUUGAACACCUCAUGGCAUGCUCCAAGAUCCUAAAAUGGACUCCAAGGCAAUGUCUGCAUUUGCCAAAUCAAAUGGGCCUUCUAAAAGAGAAUGCCAAACACCUAUCUCUCCAGUUUGACUGAAGCUUCUGAAACAAAAAUGCGGCGAGCAUACCUCGUCUUGUUUUGGAUAUAUGUUGUAGAAACAAAACAAGCUGUGUGUGAGUCAAGUGAGUGAACAAGUAGACGCACCUCAGGCUUGCAGGCCUUGCAAAGCACGCCAAGGGAGUUGGCGAGCGCGGAGGCGUCCUCCACAGCACCGCGGUUGCUGUGGCUGCUCUCCGACGGCAGGACGUGAUGUUAGCACUUUAGCAGAAUGUGUCACGUGUUAAACCCACGAGGAAAGAUAAGAGAAUGUCAUCAUACCAGUCCUUUGAGAUCCUCUUCAGAAAGAAAACUUAGCUGAUCAAAAGCAUCUUCCAAAAGUCGACUUCUUAUUUUGAACCGUUGUCUUGUCAAUGCAGAAUGUGAUGUUGAUUGUCUAGAAAACGUUAAUUGGGAUUGCUCGCAGAAAGUGAAAAAAAGUUCAAGACAUUGUUUUAGAAGAUGUAUCAAUCUUAUUUGGGAAUAUCUCAGCUGACAAAAGUUUAAUGAAUGCAAAUUUGUCAACAUUCAUACAUGCUUCUCAAAAAAAAAUAGAAGAACACUGCAGAGCUUUAGGCUAUAAGUGAAUUUAUGCCACACACUCGUGGAGCAAAUAAAUCCUACAUCAUUGAACCAAAAGAAAAUAUUCAACAGCAACAGGUGUAAAGUGUUUUUUAUUUUGUGCUAUCUCAGAUGUUUGUUUCCUCAAUCCUCACAAAUGGUACGGAGUUUACUCCUGAAUUUUACUAUCUGUGCAUUCUUUUCACCACUUUAUUUAAGCUGCUAGCUAUGGUUUUCAAGCAAUUUGUACUAUUUGAACCAGUACGCACCUGUCUUAUUCAGCACUAAUUACACAAUAGAUUAGCAAUAGCUUACAGUGAAUAUUUUGACUCGACUGGUAAAUGGAGCCAAAAAAGGAGCAAGCUUUAUGAUCUCUGAUGCUCGAGUAUUACCAAGUAUUGCCUGAAAAACAUAUGCAUAGUCAUAGAUGAUGAAAGACAUUUCAAUUAAUCCAAAAAAGCAUAGGCAUCCAUACUUGAGACACAAAAUUUUCGCUCGUAGCUUCUUGAGAAUAGAAAUCACUUGCAACAUUGAAUGGUAGUCGGUUGUUCCAGUCUUGCAACUGCAAUGAGGUAAGCUAUUAUAUGACAGUUUGGGUGGAAGUGCUUCAUCAGAAACAAAGUAAGCUGAAACAAAACAGCAACAGUUACUUUCGUAAAGAAAAAUAUGUUUGGAAUAUUACCAGAAAAAACUAUUAUAUGUAUUGACAUAAAAAAACCACAAGUGGAAUUUGACCAUCCUGUAUUCCUAUAUUACUGAAGGCAUUUAUAAAGUUUAAAGAAAUCAUAAUUUCAGGUGAGCCCUUUUCAAUGUUAGUACAGUAUCAUGGACUCAUUAGCAUGUACUGUAGCUAAACAAGAUGCAAGAUCAUAAACUGUGUAUGCACUCAUCGCUGAACCUGAGCUGAAGCGCCCCCAAGUUUAAUUAUUCCAACGGUUUUGUUAGGAUCCCCUCCAAGCCUUCCAAGAGCAUAAUUUGCCGCAACCCAAGCAUAUACACCUUUAUCCGAGCCUGUAAAAGAAGAACCACCAAGUGUAACAGCUAAUGAUACAAAAGGCACUUUUAAACACCAUACCCCCCCCCCCCCGCCAAAAAAAAACAAACAACGAAAUUUUAUGCUUGCUAGUUACUAAUUUGCACUGCGUAGAUUGUUAUAAAUUGCUGCAUGCUGUCAUUUUGAUUCUAGUUUUUUUCUUACUCAACAAACAGAAGUGUCAUCUAGGAAUACCCUAAAGCUGCAUCUCCGCUACAUAUUUCUGCUAGUCAUUUCUAAAUCCAUCGACUCACAUCUAAUGCAGAUUUGCAACAACAAACCCGCAACAAUUGGCACUCUCUUUACAUACACAACACACCUGGAAUCAGUUAGCAUUUCUAAUUCAUUGCAUUAUUGGUCGUCUAAUUUAAAAAACCCAAUUUACUUGCCACAAUGCAAUCAGACCGAGCAUUUUAGAGCUUAAGCAUCCAAUCCCCUAUCCAUAGUGCAAUCAGCGACCGAGCAUUUUACAGCUAAAGUAUAGUGACUUGCCCGAGGUGGCAGAAAAUGACAAGGGACAAGCAGUACCUGGGAUCACCUUGGCCCACGCGUCCUCGAACCGGAACCCAGAGGCUCGUAGAACAUCCCUGCAAGACGCUAAGAUCGCCUCCUGGGCGCGCUCCUCGAGCAGGCGCAGCCCUGCGAUGGCCAUGAGCCGCACCUCCGCCUCCCUAACGGCGCCACCAAUCUUAUCCCUCGCGAAAUCUAACAGAGGCUUCAGGGACUCCCCGGUGGAUUAUGCGGCGGUCACGGCGCGACGGACGGGAUUGCAGCAGGGGGGGGCUCGAGAUUGUUGGUAGCCGCGGCGAACGGAUUGCGUCGCCCCCCUCCAAAUCCUUCCGCGAAUCGCGCCGUGGCUACGAUUCCGGAGGUCGGGCGGGCGGCGUUGGCGGGCGGAGGUGGCGGGCGGUUUGCGGCGAGGAAUCCGGAGGUCGGGCGGGCGGGAGCGGGGGCAGUCUACGCUGAGCGGCGUGGGCGGACUGGGGGGAGGCGGGGGCACGCGCGGGGGGAGGCGGGGGCUCGCGGCGUGGGCGGACUGGGGGGAGGCGGGGCACGCACGGGGGGAGGCGGGGGCACCUUAGCUGUGGACGCUAGGGAUGGCAACGGGUACAUACCCGUCAGGUAGUACCAUUCCAUACCCGUACCCAUCAAAAAAAUUCUACCCGUCGGGUUACCCAUAUAUACUCGCGGGUAUAAAAUCUUACCCAUACCCGUACCCGCGCGGGUAUUUUUACCCGUCGGGUAACCCAUACCCGCAAGGAAAGAAUUAAAUUCCAAUAUACCAAUCACUCAAAAUAUUAAAGAAACAUAUAAAAACAACUUUAAUUUCACAUAUAACAAAUUAUAUGAUUACAUAACUUGGUAUCUAGACAAAUGAUAAUUAGAGAAGAGUUUUAUUCUAGCUAAGUUGGACUCUAUUAGAUGUUUAUAGUGCUAUUGAUGCGGGUAUAUUUUACCCACGGGUAGACGGGUAUGGGUAGUACCAACCCAUACCCGUACCCGUCUACCCAACGGGUAGAGGUUUUUACCCAUUAACAUACCCGCGGGUAGAGAAAUCAUCCCGUACCCGCCUUCAUAUCGGGUAAAACCCGUCGGGUAUUCGGGUUUCGGGUACCCAUUGCCAUCUCUAGUGGACGCUGACACUCCCUUCUUAAUAGAGUAGUAAAGAUUAUUCUGAAUCUGCUAAUAAUUUUGAUUAUGCAGCCUACUACAGGGGUGCAAUGGGAAUUUUGCUUGUCUAUGAUGUUACUGAUGAGUCAUCUUUCAAUAGUACGUGCACAGUGCAUUUCAACUAAAGUCAAUCCUUUGAUAUGGGCCUUUGGCUUCUCUUCUGACGUUAGUGUUAAUGUUGACAGAUAUAAGAAACUGGAUUAGGAACAUAGAGCAACAUGCUUCCGACAAUGUGAAUAAAAUUUUGGUAGGCAACAAAGCUGACAUGGAUGAAAGCAAACGGGUAUGUUCUUUUUUCCUCUUUAUUGUCUCGCAUUUUCUGUCCAUGUAAUGUUACAUUCUUAUUCAAGAUUUUUGUGUACUUUGAUGUUCAGUUUAAACUGGAAAACUGGAUCAGACAUGAGGUGGAAAACAUCAGGAUAUGUUUAACACAAUGCACCUCAAAUAGCCGUCAUGUAGUCUCUAGUCUGUCCAAUGUUUUUUUUCGAACAACGCAGGAGAGCUGCGUGUCAUUUCAUUAAGACAGAAAACACCAAGUACAAAGGGAGGAGCCAGACCUCCCUGAACUCAUAACAGCACUUACAAAACACUGCGGCUAAUGGCUAUGGGACAGGCGCACUCCAUGAGAGGGAUCUUGCUGUCCAAAGGCCCCGGUUAGACACCACAAGUGACCCUCUACAGCCACUUGGGCAAGAACUAUUUGUGCCUGAGGCCGGAUUCCAUCAAACACGCAGGCAUUCCUGUGCUGCCACAAUUCCCAGGUGACUAGGAUGACCAAGGAAUUGAAACCUUUCUGCUGACCUUUUUUGAUAGAAACGGUUGCCUUUCUCCACCAAGAACAGAAGUGGCUCGAGUAGCUGGGCGGCAAAAUGUUCAGCCCGAGUUCCCUCAAUAAACAUGCAAUACCUCCCUGGAGAGCACACAGGCAGAAAGAAUGUGGUUGAUUGAGGAGCAGAUGGAUGGUGUGCGCAGAUGGGUCACAGAUGGUGUGCCAUGGAGCAGAGGCACAGGUGAGGGGUGCUGUGCAUGCAAAAAGCAUAGGGCAGGCGAACGGCAUGGCUUGGGGAGACAGGACAGGUGAUGCAGCUGCAUGAGAAUGAAGGCAGCAGCUGUUAAUCGGUGGUGGUAGAGGUAGGCCGUACGGGAUUGAUGGGAGGUAUGGACCUAUGGUGCUUAGAUGAGCUAGUGGGCUUCCCUAAGGCAAUGGGCUGUCUAGACUGUAGACAUUCUGUCUUCCUUUCCCAUUUAUUCUUUCAUAUUUGUGCAGAUUGCAGUUACAUCUCCUGUCAUCCUUAUUCUUUGUAAGUGGCGUUUAUUGUCUGAAUACAGGCUGUGCCAACUUCAAGAGGGCAGGCUCUUGCUGAUGAGUAUGGCAUCAAAUUUUUUGAAACGGUCUGUUCUGUUUUUUACUUUGUAUUUCUGCUGUGUUCUCCUUGCAUCUAUUCUAACUGAAUGGAACGACCUGCCUGAUAUGUGGUUGCCUAAAACUAAAAGGCUAAAACUAUAUAAAUCAUGAUUGUUGUUUCUGCAGAGUGCGAAGACGAACCUGAAUGUGGAGCAGGUUUUCUUCUCCAUAGCAAGAGAUAUCAAGCAAAGGCUUGCUGAAUCUGAUUCUGUAACACCCUGAAUUUGGGGGUAUAAAAUUUCUUUUUUAAUAUCCACCAAAUUCAGGUGUUACCCUCUUCUUCCUUUGCCUUUCUUUAUCUUUCAAAAAUAGAGAAGGAAUAUUUUGUUUUUAUGAAAGUAUUAGAUGUAUUAAUGAAUCUCAAAAAGGGUUUUUGAUCAUUGCAUCACAUGCUGGAGCAUUAGUCUUCUUGUUGUUGAUUGAGUUGAAAGAGUUCAACGAGUUAAUUUAUUCUCUUUUGAGAAGCCCAAUUUAAUUAAUAAUAGAAAUUUACCAAAAAAUAUUUAUUGAAUAUUCUAUUUGGAAAUAUUAUUAUUUUUAAUCAUUAUGGUUUUCUUUUAAUAUUUCAAAAAAUAACAAAUAUUUAUUCAUACAUUUUGAAUAACAUGCGUUAAGAAAAAGAGGAAAAUGAAUUUCAAAAUAAACAGAAAUAAAGAAAAGGCCUAGCUGCUCGGCAUGUCCGUGGCCCGCUCGGCCUUCCAGCCUCGUCGCGCGCACGGGAGCACGAGUAGCGGCCAUCCAGUUCAUGGGCCCACCCGUCAGCAGGGUGCGGGACCCACUUGUCAGACCAAUUUUCCUCAACUGCCCACUCCCUUCCCUAGCCGCCACUACUCCUGUUUCCCAGCCGCCAGGUUGUUCCUCUUCACGUACGUCCACGACUUCUUCAACCCCAAGCGCAUCUGUUCCCUGCUCUCCUUGGCAACCAACAGCAGCGGCAACCAGCAGCCCGGCGCGGUGGCCGGCGACCAGGGCGUGGCAGCCGGCGGUGCGCCCAGCCAGCCGCCCGUGCCCGCCGCACCGUGAUGCGUACGUCGGAUCGCCGCUAGUGCCGCGUCCAGCUUCCGUCGCGAGCUCGGCCCUACGUCGCCCAGGCCCUCGUCGGAGCACCUCGCCAUCCUGGCCGUCGUCGCGAGCGUGAGGUGAGCCCCCUCUUCUUCUCCCUCUCUCCUCUGGCUUCUCUUUCCUGUCAACGCGUAGCUAGCAGCCGUCCGGCUUGCGGCAGGGACCUCCUCGCGUGAGCCCGUCUGGCCGCCAUGCCCGACCAGCCCAUCCGGCCGCCAUGGCGAGCCGCUGCCAUCGCGCAGUCUGGCUGGUGCCUAGUGGCCAGCCAAUGAAUGGUCGAGCAGCCCGGCGGCAAGGGCCCCUGCGCGCGGUCGCAGCCAGCGUUGCCGGCGUGCCUGUCAGGCCCCGCGCCCCUUUCCCUGGCCGGCAGAACCGCCUCGCCGUGAGUGGCUCUGCUGUUGUCGUCCGCCUCGCCGUGAGUGGCUCUGCUGUUGCCGUCGUUCAACAGAGAAGAAGUCAAAACAGGAAACCUGCAUGUGCGAUACUUCUCCCAUGGGCAAUACUUCUUCCGUGCAUGUGCUUUUUUCAGCCAUAUGAACCCACGAACUCCUUGCAUGUGGCUAGAAAAGUGCUCCCAUAUUAGAUGAAAGGAUCCUCUGCACCCAUGGCUCUUGUGGCCCUUCGUGUGGCUGUGCUUUUGACCAAUUAAAUCGUGCCAUGUCAUAAGGUCGUAAAUAAUCCACAAACACUAUUUAUUCAAUAUAAUUUAUGUCAUAAACCCAUUUAAGUUGCACUAAAAUUGUAAUAAUAUCACCAACGCGUUAGAAACACUAUUAUGUCAUGAAGCAUGUUUUAUGUAUGUAAUUAAUUAUUUGUUUACAUUGGUUAUUAAAAUAGAUUUCUAAUUAAAACUAAUCUGUAGUUUUAAUUUAUACGUUUAUAAUAAAUGUUAGCAUGAUUAAUAUCAGCUCGAAUGUUCUCGAAUUAAUGCUUGUUUAGCAUAAUCGCGACAUCUGUUAUUGUUUCUCGCGUGUCGCUCAUGCUAUUCGCAUGUGUCGUUGUUGCUGUUCGCGUGCCAUUCGCGUGCGUCGUCACCGUCCAUUCACGUGUGUUGUGCGCAAUCCGCACACGUUAUUUAAUCAUUUUGCUAUAAUCGUUCAUGCUUAUUAAUUAAUUGUUGUUUAGCCGUUGACUAAUUGAUAAUUUAGUUUAUCUAAAAUAUCUUGCGCAAAUAAUUUAUAUGAACUAAAAUCAACCUAGAAAUAUAGCUUUGCGCGUUUAAUCACAAUCUAGUAGUAUUCGUUGGUCGCGUCGUUUGUUAGCCGCAGAUGGCCAGUUAUUUGUUAUAUAAUGCGUCGUAAGCCCAUUUCUACUCGUCCUGGUCACGUGCUGAUUCGCUCGUCGUUCGCGUUGGUCGCGCGCACUAUUUCAGGUGUCGUCAGCGUGCUAUGUCGCGCGUGUCCGCACGUCGUUUGUACGUUGUCGUGUUGUUUCGCGCAUCGUAAACUCGCCUCAUUUAGAAUCUCUCGUGCUAAUUAUAUUACUUAUUUAUUUGACAGCGGUUAGUGUAGCAUAUUUAAUCAAAACUAAAUAGUAGAUGUAAUUUAUAUUUGAUAACGUCGAAUUAAAUGUCCUAGUUCAUAUUCGUUUAAGCGUAAACAUGAUAACUUGUCGACCGUAGCCUCGACCGUCGCGUUUCUUUGUCCUCGUGUGACCGUAGUAACACACUCUAUUUUAUUUUCCGUAUUUUAUAUGUUUUACUUGAAUGGUGUAAUGUUCUUAUGCAUAUAUAUGGUUGUUUGUUUGUACCUAUUUGUAUUCGCUGUGCGACGCGAAUAGAUUGCGAUCUGUUCCUGAGCUUCGAGGAAUCGACGGUCAAGCUUCGGCGACCAAGUGAUCUAGCUCUUCGAGUUCCAUAAAGUUGAAGACCCUGAGCAUCUGUUUGGUGAAGGCAAGUGUCCCUUGACCUAUCUCUGUCCUAUACAUACUUUAAUUCACCUCCCACAUUACACAUUUAUACCUAAGGAUUGACUAGCUUUUGUUAUCCAUGUCCUUGUUACCUAUCUGGGUUGGAUUAUUAUUGCUUAGUCUUAUGCUAUUGCUCAACUCUAAUCAAUGAACAUGAUGAGAAUUAUCAAUGAUACACUGUUUUCCCUUCUUUUAUUAUGAUGUUAUACUUGUGGUCUUCAAGGGGGCUCGAGCGGUUUCUCGAGUGCCUCUCCGUAAGGACCUGUUCGUUGGAUGACCGCCCGGGAAAACAGUGCAACCAUGAGGGUGGAAUGGGGUGCCCUUAGCUGAAUAAUUAGAGGAUCCGGGGUGUAGUUCGCUUCACCGUCGUGCCGUCAAUGGGGCUCGGUGUAUGCGACUCGCUCUGCCAAGGUUGAUUUGUCCCUUAGGGAGGAGUGCGGUACAUUUAGGAAACCUAACGGGCGGCUACAGCCUCGGGGAAUCUUUGUAAAGGCUACGUAGUGAGACCCUGCCUACUCACCUUGGGAGUGUUUAAGGGUCCGUACAACCCGAGGCAAAAAGGGAAUCAUGGCUCAUGGGUAAAGUGCGCAACCUCUGCAGAGUGUUAUGAAACUGAUAUAUCAGCCGUGCUCGCGGUUAUGAGCGGCCAAGGGAGCUCCAGUGAUUAGUGGUACUUGAUCAGAGAUGUUCGGGUUGCUGGUGACAAUGAGACUGAUGGUUCUUGGUUUUGACUCUGGUAAUGGUAAGUGGUACUCUUUCCGUUUGGAAAGGAGUACGUUUGGGUUAAUAACGUGGGUUAACACUAAAACUUGGCUUUCUAUACUAGUAAUAAUAAUCUGACCAACUAAAAGCAACUGCUUGACUUAUCCCCACAUAAAGCUAGUCCACUACAGCCAAACAGGAUACUUGCUGAGUAUGUUGAUGUGUACUCACCCUUGCUCUACACACCAACCCCCCCUCCCCAGGUUGUCCGCAUUGCAACCACUGCUCAGGAGAAGAUGAAGCCGUGGAAGGAGACUUCCAGGAGUUCCAAGACUACGACGAGUUUUAGACGUGGGUUAGCGGCAACCCCCAGUCGGCUGCCUGUGAAGGCCGCAUUUAUCUACGUUUUGUUUUCGCACUUUGAUUUAUUGUAAAGACUAUGUGGAUGUCUCAGACAUAUGAUUUAAUCGACUAUUUCCCUUUUAAUACUAUUUGAGCACUGUGCGAUGAUGUCCAUGUUAUGUAACUGCUGUGUACGUGAAUUGCUGAUCCUGGCACGUACAUGGUUCGCAUUCGGUUUGCCUUCUAAAACCGGGUGUGACAGAUUCAAAGCCAGAGGUGCAACUUCAAAACUUAUUGGCUGUCCGCCGUACGAAGUCGUCGCCCAGACAUAUUUCGACAGAGCCACCACGGCAUUCGGAGUCAGCUGGUGGAUCCGGACGUUAAAUCUACGCAGGACUUCCCCCACGAAUCGGUGCGCAGGUAGGCGAAGACCAGCGGCAAAGAACGCCUCGAAGACAACCAACUCGCCUUCUGGCUCGGGGACCUCCUCCGUCCCCGGCACACGAGCGACUCCGCCGCCAAAGUAACCAAGCUGCUGCAUAUCUAGCACGCGGACCGAGGACAUCCGCGACACACCGAAAUCCACCGUGUCGCCGGCGCGCAACUCCUCCGCCGCCACAGUGCUCAGCGUCUCCUCAGACGACGCGUCGGCCGGCGGAGUAGCGGCAGCAGAAGAAGAAGAGGUCGGCAUCGCUACGUACCGUCGGCGGCGGCGGGCGGUCUGCUUCACACGGGCCAGAUCUCCGGCGAACAAGAGCAAGGAGGGCAGACGAGCAGCAAGAGGUUUGAGAAGGCGGUUAGGGUUUUCGCGGAGCGCGGAAAGAUAAAGUUCAAAACGCGCCGCCCCCCGUCCCCUUUUAUACACAGGGCGCGACGCUUCGGGAAACCCGCAAUCCAAUAGUACGGCGUCAAUCAACGGUCAUGUCAAAAACCCCCGCGGAACCACUUCGAGCGAGGGCAGCGUCUCCGCCAUCUAGCGACGCCUUCGGCACCAGGUGACUUAGUCGAACUGGUCCCUCGGAGGGCAAAUGUUGGGACGAAGGCGAAGACGCCACCCUUCGCUCGAGACCUUCGCCGUACUCGCUGCACCAACGGUGACAAGACAACGGGCAGACUUACCCUUCGUCUCAUACGUCGCCGGACGAAGACCCGCGACGAGGUCGUCUCAUCCUGCGACCUUGUCCAGAAUGGAGGCCCGCGUGUGAUCCGGCCCAUUGUAACAGGCCCUGCGUGGCCGUUGCGCGUUACGGGCCUAAUUUGUAAAGAUCUCCCUGUAAUUACGGUCUAUAACCCCCGCUUUAUGGGAAUAUUCCGGAGAUAAUCUAGGUGUCUGAGGGCACAUGCGUCCUUAACACGGGACGCUGGGCACCCGGAUACUUAUAAAUACCCCCGCACAGUGCCCUUGAGAGGCUAGAUUAACAGAGCUAUUGUCAUGUCGUGCGAAAACCCUGUUUACGUCACUUCACACCCCCGUUGGAUCACCUUGCACCAGAGAGCAAGUUCCAACACUUAUUCUUCCUUUUCAGCUUGUUGCAGGAAAAAAAACUAAUUAACUAACAACUUGCAUACUUGCUACUUCAGCAAUGUUGCUUAACAAGAAAGGAAUUCUAUGUUUCAGGAUCGCACGAUCAGUAUUAACAGACCUGAGGGUGGUGAGGCUUCAGCGUCACAAAAAUCAGCUUGCUGCGGAUCGUGACGGGGUUACAUGCGAUACCAUACUUUGUAAUUUACCCUUCUACGUACCUUUUAUCUGGCUGUCAUCGUUCUCGUCUAACUUUUAAAUGCAAUUGCUUGGAUUCAGGUUUCUGUGUUGUAAUGUGAACAAUUUUAGUUGUACCCCUGGUAGAAAUGCAUGUGCUCAUAAGUCAUUGCACCUUGUUUUGAUGGAAAUGCUUGCAAAAUCGUUCACAGUUUAGGCGCGGCCGUACUACCUGUUGCUUUACUACAUUUAGACUGACUAGCAGACUAUGUAUAUGACCACAAAACGUACUGUGGAUCGUACUGUUUAUUAGGUGGAGUUUAAAAUCGAAGGUGGUGUAAAAGGUCUUUAGCCGA